RNAcentral lists this ribosomal RNA (503 nucleotides) under uncultured bacterium. RNAcentral describes it as "partial 16S ribosomal RNA". It matches the Rfam family "Bacterial small subunit ribosomal RNA", at positions 30 to 523 of the family's 1533-position model. The record is from RNAcentral.
AUUGAACGCUGGCGGUAUGCUUAACACAUGCAAGUCGAACGGCAGCAUGGUCUAGCUUGCUAGACUGAUGGCGAGUGGCGGACGGGUGAGUAACGCGUAGGAAUACGCCUUGAAGAGUGGGACAACUUGGGGAAACUCAAGCUAAUACCGCAUGUACUCGAGAGAGUAAAGCUGGGGACCUUUAGGCCUGGCGCUUUAAGAUUAGCCUGCGUCCGAUUAGCUAGUUGGUAGGGUAAAGGCCUACCAAGGCGACGAUCGGUAGCUGGUCUGAGAGGAUGAUCAGCAACACUGGAACUGAGAGACGGUCCAGACUCCUACGGGAGGCAGCAGUGGGGAAUAUUGGACAAUGGGGGGAACCCUGAUCCAGCAAUGCCGCGUGUGUGAAGAAGGCCUGAGGGUUGUAAAGCACUUUCAGUGGGGAGGAGGUUUGGAAGGUUAAGAGCUAUUCAAAUGGACGUUACCCAAAGAAGCACCGGCUAACUCCGUGCCAGCCGCCGCCGUAA